AACGUAGGAGCCUAGCGUUAUCCGAAUUCACUGGGCGUAAAGCGCGGGCAGGCGGUCUUGCCAGUCUGAUGUGAAAUCUCUCCGCUCAACGGGGAGCAGCCAUUGGAAACUACAAGACUGGAGUCUGACAGAGGUAGGCGGAAUUCCGGGUGGAGUGGUGAAAUGCGUAGAGAUCCGGAGGAACACCAGAGGCGAAGGCGGCCUACUGGGUCAGUACUGACGCUGAGCCGCGAAAGCCAGGGGAGCGAACGGG
This 253-nucleotide ribosomal RNA is filed under the name uncultured bacterium. RNAcentral's name for it is "partial 16S ribosomal RNA". It matches the Rfam family "Bacterial small subunit ribosomal RNA", at positions 524 to 776 of the family's 1533-position model. The record is from RNAcentral.